This 388-nucleotide ribosomal RNA is filed under the name uncultured bacterium. RNAcentral describes it as "bacterial SSU rRNA". It matches the Rfam family "Bacterial small subunit ribosomal RNA", at positions 28 to 417 of the family's 1533-position model. The record is from RNAcentral.
GACGAACGCUGGCGGCGUGCUUAACACAUGCAAGUCGAGCGGUAAGGCCCUUUCGGGGGUACACGAGCGGCGAACGGGUGAGUAACACGUGGGUGACCUGCCUUUAGCUCUGGGAUAAGCCUGGGAAACUGGGUCUAAUACCGGAUAUGACUCCAUGAUGCAUGUUGUGGGGUGGAAAGCCUUGUGCGGCUGGAGAUGGGCCCGCGGCCUAUCAGCUUGUUGGUGGGGUGAUGGCCUACCAAGGCGACGACGGGUAGCCGGCCUGAGAGGGCGACCGGCCACACUGGGACUGAGAUACGGCCCAGACUCCUACGGGAGGCAGCAGUGGGGAAUCUUGCGCAAUGGGCGAAAGCCUGACGCAGCGACGCCGCGUGAGGGAUGACGGCCU